Molecule: long non-coding RNA, 2167 nt
Filed under: Malus domestica (apple)
Lineage: Eukaryota; Viridiplantae; Streptophyta; Magnoliopsida; Rosales; Rosaceae
Description: long non-coding RNA (MDOM_LNC015016)
Source: RNAcentral
CCUGAGGUUGUGUAGGUCACUGUGAUAUAUUCAUAUACCCAAUUUGAGCUAUGUAUGAUAAGUUAUUAGAUAGUUUUGUCUAUAUGCUCUAAAAUAACGUUUUUAUAGUUAAUUCGCAUAUAGGUGAGACUUAUCCUGAGGACAAGCGAGUUCAAGGGCGACUCGGGGGCUACGACCCUUCGACAUACCAGUGAGUGGGCUUUUGGUUUUCAGUAUAUAUUUAUAUACUUGAUAUUUUCCCAGAAAUAUGUGUUUUAAUGAAAGUAUGCCUUAAAUGCCAUGCGUACGAAUUUAUAUGUCGUAUAUGAAUUGGUAUAUGAUGUUAUAUGUAUAAAUGUGGUGAUGUGGAUGCUCAGGUAAGCUCAGGUGAGUUAUGUUUGGUUAUGUGAAUUGUCAAUGAUGCGAUAUGUGAUUGAAUAAUGUUGAGCUCAUAAAACUGCACCUAGGGUGAUUGUGAUUUAGCCAGAGUUAUGGCACAUGCCUAUUUAUUAUGUCACCUCCUGUACCAUAUGCUCAUAUUGGAUCCAAUUUAGGAGCACAGUCUUAUUGUACAGACCUUUACUAUGGUUCCAACUCGUAGGUGACUAGUGAUUUAUCGCCCAGCUAUUAUGUGGGAGUAGUAUUGAGCAUAAUUAUAUUACACCUAGUAUUGUUGUACAUACCUUUCAUUUGGUUCCGACUCUUGUGCAGUAUAGUGUCGUAGAGUUCAUUGUAAUGACUCCGGCUUGAUUGACUUUUGAGCUAUGAAUUCAGCCGUACAGACUACCACAGGGAAUCCGGCUAGCAUGUUAUAUUUCUAUGAAGUUAUUCUCACCUGAAUUGCUUACUCUAUUAUAUCUUGGCACGGCAUACAUAUGUAUAUGAUUAUGUGAAGCAUGAUUUGAAUUGAUAUAUUUACAUAAUAUUUAUGUAUAUGCUUAUAUUUUGAUUCUGGGAAAAAUUAUAUAUGUUUUACAGCGAGGAGUUAAAAAUGUUGAUAAAUGAAAUGGUUUUGUAAAACAUUUGUUUUUGCCCACUUACGUUUUCUGUUUUACGCCACUCCAAGUUUUAGGUAAGUUUGCAGUUGCUGGGUAUCUAAAUAAUUGUAGGACAUCUUAUGGUAUUGUAGAAUUAGUACUUGUCCUACUGGACUGCACCUAGACUUUCUAUGCUCUGAUUAGGAGUAUUUACUUUCGUAUCUUACUCCUAACACUUUAUGUUUAGUAGUGCACUCUAGUAGUUCGGUUUUUAAUUACUCAUAUAUUUCUUAUCUUUAUUGCUUCCGCACUGUGCACAUGGCUACGUCACCCUCACGUGACGGCCAUCAAGCCUUGAUCUCGGUCGGGGUGUGUCAGUUUGGUAUCAGAGCCUAAGUUUAGCAAUCCUAUAUAGUUCUUGAAUAUUCUAAUCUUUGUGAUGUCUUAUGUCAGAACUAUACCGCCUCGUAGAAAGCCCCGUUACUCAGCUGAGCCUAGUUUCCUCGAUAUUGCUCAAUUAGGGGAAGCUAUAGUUACUGCCAUUCAGUCUGCAUUAUGUCCUCCUCAAAUGACACAUCUUGAGACUGUGUAUAAUCUGAAAUUGAAUCACUUUAUGGGUAAUGAAGGACAUGAGGAGGCGGAGAAAUGGCUUAAUCAUAUCGAGAAAACCUUUCUUGUGAUGCAGAGUAAGGGGAAUCUUCCUCCUUAUAGGUGGGUCGAGACGACUACCUGAUUUUUGGGAGAGCAGCCUGCAUCUUGGUGGAGACAUGAGUCUUACCAGUUAACCUCAGCGAAGAUUGCGGACUGGGGAGUAUUUAAAGAGCUGUUUCGAAAAAGGUUCAUUCCUCCUGAGUAUAUUGAUCGUAAGAAACAAGAGUUUACCCAUUUGAAGCAAGGAAAGAUGUUAGCUAAUGAGUAUUACAGGAUGUUUACUAAUUUGUUGAGAUAUGAUCCAGAGGUUGCAGCUAAUCCGGUCGAGAUGCUUCACUGUUUCAGAUUGGGUACUAAGAAGAAAUGGCGUUCCAUAGCGACAUCGACUCCCUGUGCCACUUACCAAGAGUUUUAUGAGGUUUUACUUUGGAUUGAGGACUCAGAGAACAUGCUCAGUGAAAGUGAGGAUGAGGAAGGAAAGAAUGGGAACCAGAGGCGAGAUGAUAAGGGAAAAGGGCAAGCGUUUCAAGGACUUUGUAAGACCUAGAAUUUUAAGAGAA